This 553-nucleotide long non-coding RNA is filed under the name Sinocyclocheilus grahami. Its description in RNAcentral is "lncRNA (ENSSGRG00000015736.1)". Lineage: Eukaryota; Metazoa; Chordata; Actinopteri; Cypriniformes; Cyprinidae. The record is from RNAcentral.
CUCAAGCCAACCAGCAGAGGGCACACAAGAGCCUUGAACGCAUCUGAUACGCAGGUGGAGGUCACAAAGAAGACUUCUAAUAAAAACCGUGGCAUAAAGCUAAUCCUCUCUCUUUGUUCUGCGAACUUUUGUGUGGUGAGGAUGUCGCAGUGCAACAUGUCCUCUUCAGAAAGUUGCUUUGUGAUUGCAGUCGUAGUUUCCAGUCUGCCUCGUGAAGGGCCUGAUGAAGCACGUGGCCUCGGAUGAUUCGCGCCAUUGGCGGUUUAGGCUGUUGAAUAUCUAUUUGAUGCAUCGAUUAUAAAUUUUAAUGAACGCAACGGAGGGUUAAGUUGGUGCUUUCACCGAUGGUAAGCGUGUUAGAUGGUGUGGCUUUGUAAGAGAUGUAAGAAGACCAAGAAGUCCAUUUGGUGGUGUACAGUUUGGAACGUGCUCUUCUGCAUGUUACUAAUGUGCAAAUGUAAUUUUAAAACACAAAAUUCAGUAUGUGCUUGUUAGAUGUAUGGAUAAAUGUCUUAAUAAAAAUGUGAAAACCUUAAUUUGUGUUGUGUAUAGU